Molecule: ribosomal RNA, 1523 nt
Filed under: Salmonella enterica
Lineage: Bacteria; Pseudomonadati; Pseudomonadota; Gammaproteobacteria; Enterobacterales; Enterobacteriaceae
Also listed under: 5 other names
Description: bacterial SSU rRNA
Rfam family: Bacterial small subunit ribosomal RNA
Source: RNAcentral
GAGUUUGAUCAUGGCUCAGAUUGAACGCUGGCGGCAGGCCUAACACAUGCAAGUCGAACGGUAACAGGAAGCAGCUUGCUGCUUUGCUGACGAGUGGCGGACGGGUGAGUAAUGUCUGGGAAACUGCCUGAUGGAGGGGGAUAACUACUGGAAACGGUGGCUAAUACCGCAUAACGUCGCAAGACCAAAGAGGGGGACCUUCGGGCCUCUUGCCAUCAGAUGUGCCCAGAUGGGAUUAGCUUGUUGGUGAGGUAACGGCUCACCAAGGCGACGAUCCCUAGCUGGUCUGAGAGGAUGACCAGCCACACUGGAACUGAGACACGGUCCAGACUCCUACGGGAGGCAGCAGUGGGGAAUAUUGCACAAUGGGCGCAAGCCUGAUGCAGCCAUGCCGCGUGUAUGAAGAAGGCCUUCGGGUUGUAAAGUACUUUCAGCGGGGAGGAAGGUGUUGUGGUUAAUAACCGCAGCAAUUGACGUUACCCGCAGAAGAAGCACCGGCUAACUCCGUGCCAGCAGCCGCGGUAAUACGGAGGGUGCAAGCGUUAAUCGGAAUUACUGGGCGUAAAGCGCACGCAGGCGGUCUGUCAAGUCGGAUGUGAAAUCCCCGGGCUCAACCUGGGAACUGCAUUCGAAACUGGCAGGCUUGAGUCUUGUAGAGGGGGGUAGAAUUCCAGGUGUAGCGGUGAAAUGCGUAGAGAUCUGGAGGAAUACCGGUGGCGAAGGCGGCCCCCUGGACAAAGACUGACGCUCAGGUGCGAAAGCGUGGGGAGCAAACAGGAUUAGAUACCCUGGUAGUCCACGCCGUAAACGAUGUCUACUUGGAGGUUGUGCCCUUGAGGCGUGGCUUCCGGAGCUAACGCGUUAAGUAGACCGCCUGGGGAGUACGGCCGCAAGGUUAAAACUCAAAUGAAUUGACGGGGGCCCGCACAAGCGGUGGAGCAUGUGGUUUAAUUCGAUGCAACGCGAAGAACCUUACCUGGUCUUGACAUCCACAGAACUUUCCAGAGAUGGAUUGGUGCCUUCGGGAACUGUGAGACAGGUGCUGCAUGGCUGUCGUCAGCUCGUGUUGUGAAAUGUUGGGUUAAGUCCCGCAACGAGCGCAACCCUUAUCCUUUGUUGCCAGCGGUCCGGCCGGGAACUCAAAGGAGACUGCCAGUGAUAAACUGGAGGAAGGUGGGGAUGACGUCAAGUCAUCAUGGCCCUUACGACCAGGGCUACACACGUGCUACAAUGGCGCAUACAAAGAGAAGCGACCUCGCGAGAGCAAGCGGACCUCAUAAAGUGCGUCGUAGUCCGGAUUGGAGUCUGCAACUCGACUCCAUGAAGUCGGAAUCGCUAGUAAUCGUGGAUCAGAAUGCCACGGUGAAUACGUUCCCGGGCCUUGUACACACCGCCCGUCACACCAUGGGAGUGGGUUGCAAAAGAAGUAGGUAGCUUAACCUUCGGGAGGGCGCUUACCACUUUGUGAUUCAUGACUGGGGUGAAGUCGUAACAAGGUAACCGUAGGGGAACCUGCGGUUGGA